GAUGAACGCUGGCGGCGUGCCUAAUACAUGCAAGUCGAGCGAACGGACGAGAAGCUUGCUUCUCUGAUGUUAGCGGCGCACGGGUGAGUAACACGUGGAUAACCUACCUAUAAGACUGGGAUAACUUCGGGAAACCGGAGCUAAUACCGGAUAAUAUUUUGAACCGCAUGGUUCAAAAGUGAAAGACGGUCUUGCUGUCACUUAUAGAUGGAUCCGCGCUGCAUUAGCUAGUUGGUAAGGUAACGGCUUACCAAGGCAACGAUGCAUAGCCGACCUGAGAGGGUGAUCGGCCACACUGGAACUGAGACACGGUCCAGACUCCUACGGGAGGCAGCAGUAGGGAAUCUUCCGCAAAGGGCGAAAGCCUGACGGAGCAACGCCGCGUGAGUGAUGAAGGUCUUCGGAUCGUAAAACUCUGUUAUUAGGGAAGAACAUAUGUGUAAGUAACUGUGCACAUCUUGACGGUACCUAAUCAGAAAGCCACGGCUAACUACGUG
RNAcentral lists this ribosomal RNA (497 nucleotides) under uncultured bacterium. Its description in RNAcentral is "partial 16S ribosomal RNA". It matches the Rfam family "Bacterial small subunit ribosomal RNA", at positions 28 to 507 of the family's 1533-position model. The record is from RNAcentral.